This 503-nucleotide ribosomal RNA is filed under the name uncultured bacterium. Its description in RNAcentral is "bacterial SSU rRNA". It matches the Rfam family "Bacterial small subunit ribosomal RNA", at positions 15 to 507 of the family's 1533-position model. The record is from RNAcentral.
GAUCAUGGCUCAGGAUGAACGCUAGCUACAGGCUUAACACAUGCAAGUCGAGGGGCAGCAUGACGAUAGCUUGCUAUUGUUGAUGGCGACCGGCGCACGGGUGAGUAACGCGUAUCCAACCUUCCCGUUGCUAGGGGAUAACCUUGCGAAAGUAAGACUAAUACCCUAUGAAGUUCUUCGCAGGCAUCUAAAGAGAACGAAAGAUUUAUCGGCAACGGAUGGGGAUGCGUCUGAUUAGGUUGUUGGCGGGGUAACGGCCCACCAAGCCUACGAUCAGUAGGGGUUCUGAGAGGAAGGUCCCCCACAUUGGAACUGAGACACGGUCCAAACUCCUACGGGAGGCAGCAGUGAGGAAUAUUGGUCAAUGGACGGAAGUCUGAACCAGCCAAGUAGCGUGCAGGAUGACGGCCCUAUGGGUUGUAAACUGCUUUUAUAAGGGAAUAAAGUGAGCCUCGUGAGGCUUUUUGCAUGUACCUUAUGAAUAAGGACCGGCUAAUUCCGUG